AUAGCAACAGCAGCGUAGCUGAACAUCUUACGGAUGGCCCAGGGCUCCAAAGGCUCGUUUCCUAAGUGAGAGAGAGCCUGGCUGAAGCUGUAUUACCAUUCAUUCUCCAGCCUCCGAAGUCUCAAAGCAUCACUUCCACCAUACUCUAACUGUCAAGACAAACACAAAGGCCCAGAAACUGCCAGACUGUCUUCUGAAGUGGCUAUAAUAUUUACACUCCCAUCAGCAGUGUAGAAGGGGUCUCACUAUGUUGUCUGGAGUGCUGUGGUGGAGUGGAGUGGCUAUUCACAGAGCCUGUUCUGCUGGGACACAGAAUCACUUGCUCCAUCUCAUACAUUGAUGAUGAUUAAUUUGUAUGUGUACCUUCCAAAAAAGAUGGUUGUGUUUGAAUGGAGGCCUUCUGGACAGGAAAAUAUGGAGAGUGCGUGCUUUGGAUUCAAGACUGGGAAUGAGGGGACCAGAAACCUAUUCUGUGGCUGUUUCUUGUUAGGACUUUCCUAAGCCUCUGGAAAAGACUAAUCUUUCCAAGUUCAUCUGAGGCUCCUCUUCUCCAUGACAACCUCAUCCAGGGAUUUCUUCCUGUCCUGGUGUUUUAUGACAUAAUCACAUCCUUCCUGAGAUAAUGAGCACACAAUUGCCUGGAUACCUGAAGGAAUGGAGACAGCGGCAGAAAACACUGCAGAGAGGUGGAAACAUCCGUUAAUAUUUUAAAAUCCCAUUACUGCUACCAACAAUAAUAAUGGAUGCAUAGAAAUAGAUCUGGAUUAGCUGAGCUUGAAACAGUCCAUCUCACACACACACAAAAGAAUUUCAGAUACAGUGAACCCACAUGUUGAAGCUUUCUAGUAUAAUAAAAAUUUCAACUGUUCUGUUGAAUCAUCUGCCUGAUUGGAGGCUACAGAAAAGAUGUCAUCUUAGGAGUGCUUGCUCUGAGUGAGGCUCAUCUUCAAAUCUGAAUGACCACAAGGAGAUUUGAUUAUACAUGUGAACACCUCAGAAGGCACAGCCCACCCAGAAGGCAGACAGGUCAGGCUGCUUUUUCUUCAUUGCUUGGAUUCAAUCCUCCGGGCGGCUCAGGCUCAAACAUAACUUAAGCAUGAUUAAACUUUAGAAGAAGCUGCCAGGAAGACUGUGAAAUCUUCAUGCCCAAGGAUCCCUAAAAUUAGGAGCAACAACCACUUGGCUCAGACGGUUUAUGGAGGCAAAGGUUUGGAUGGGAUUAGAGAUUUCUAAAUGUGAGUUCGUGUCCUCUGCCAGACCACCUUACUUCCACCAUUCCUCAGCAAAUCAAGAAAAACAGGAGAAAAGACAUGCCUUUCCAUAAGUUAAAUCUAUUCUGUUUUAAUUCUAUAUUAUAUCUGCUGUACAACUUCUUUUGUUUGUAACACCAUAUUGUUGCUAGUAACUGGAAAUUAAUUUUCACAUGCCUCAGCUUAGAAAAAUAAAAAGCAGCCCUGCAUCAAUCCCAA
This 1469-nucleotide long non-coding RNA is filed under the name Homo sapiens (human). RNAcentral describes it as "long intergenic non-protein coding RNA 635". The record is from RNAcentral. Lineage: Eukaryota; Metazoa; Chordata; Mammalia; Primates; Hominidae.